This 400-nucleotide ribosomal RNA is filed under the name uncultured bacterium. RNAcentral describes it as "bacterial SSU rRNA". It matches the Rfam family "Bacterial small subunit ribosomal RNA", at positions 355 to 746 of the family's 1533-position model. The record is from RNAcentral.
UGGGGAAUAUUGCGCAAUGGGCGAAAGCCUGACGCAGCAACGCCGCGUGAGUGAUGAAGGCCUUCGGGUUGUAAAGCUCUUUCGGUUGGGAAGAAGGGUGUGCGAGCGAAGAGGUCGUACAUUUGAUGGUACCAAAAGAAGAAGCACCGGCUAACUUCGUGCCAGCAGCCGCGGUAAUACGAAGGGUGCGAGCGUUGUUCGGAAUUACUGGGCGUAAAGGGUUCGUAGGCGGGAACUUAAGUCAAGUGUGAAAUCCCCAGGCUCAACCUGGGACGUGCACUUGAAACUGAGUUUCUUGAGUGAUGGAGAGGGCGAUGGAAUUGCUGGUGUAGGAGUGACAUCCGUAGAGAUCAGCAGGAACACCGGAGGCGAAGGCGAUCGCCUGGCCAUUUACUGACGC